CUUGUAGUCCCUCCGUCCGGAAAUACUUGUCCAAAGAAUGGAUGUAUCUAGAUGUAUUUUAGUUUUAGAUAACCCAUUUGUAUCCAUUUUUAUGACAAGUAUUUCCGGACGGAGGGAGUAGUAA
Molecule: non-coding RNA, 124 nt
Organism: Triticum aestivum (bread wheat)
Lineage: Eukaryota; Viridiplantae; Streptophyta; Magnoliopsida; Poales; Poaceae
Source: Rfam